ACAGUUGGAAACGACUGCUAAUACCGCAUAAGCCCACAGCUCGGCAUCGAGCAGAGGGAAAAGGAGUGAUCCGCUUUGAGAUGGCCUCGCGUCCGAUUAGCUGGUUGGUGAGGUAACGGCCCACCAAGGCAACGAUCGGUAGCCGGACUGAGAGGUUGAACGGCCACAUUGGGACUGAGACACGGCCCAGACUCCUACGGGAGGCAGCAGUGGGGAAUAUUGCACAACGGGGGAAACCCUGAUGCAGCGACGCCGCGUGGAGGAAGAAGGUCUUCGGAUUGUAAACUCCUGUUGUUGAGGAAGAUAAUGACGGUACUCAACAAGGAAGUGACGGCUAACUACGUGCCAGCAGCCGCGGUAAAACGUAGGUCACAAGCGUUGUCCGGAAUUACUGGGUGUAAAGGGAGCGCAGGCGGGAGAACAAGUUGGAAGUGAAAUCCAUGGGCUCAACCCAUGAACUGCUUUCAAAACUGUUUUUCUUGAGUAGCGCAGAGGUAGGCGGAAUUCCCGGUGUAGCGGUGGAAUGCGUAGAUAUCGGGAGGAACACCAGUGGCGAAGGCGGCCUACUGGGCACCAACUGACGCUGAGGCUCGAAAGUGUGGGUAGCAAACAGGAUUAGAUACC
Molecule: ribosomal RNA, 624 nt
Filed under: uncultured bacterium
Lineage: Bacteria
Description: bacterial SSU rRNA
Rfam family: Bacterial small subunit ribosomal RNA
Source: RNAcentral